Molecule: long non-coding RNA, 492 nt
Organism: Saccostrea cuccullata (small rock oyster)
Lineage: Eukaryota; Metazoa; Mollusca; Bivalvia; Ostreida; Ostreidae
Exons: 4
Source: RefSeq, a predicted model, not a curated record
ACUGAAUAUUGUAUGAUUUUUUUUCAGGAUCAGCUGAGAUGUAAUCAAUCACUGGAUUAUUUAAUGCAUAGGCUAAUUGGGCAUAUAGUUGAAUAUCUCUGUCAUCAACAUGGAAUGUAUGACUUCAUCUUUUAUACAGUCGGGUUCGGGGUUUCGGGCGGCCAUGACGAAUUUCGGCAAGAUUUUACCCCAGUGAAAAAGGCUUGUAAUCCACAGUUCCUCAACCUGGAAGAUAUGUUUUGUUCCUAACCAUCUAUAAUCCAUUCUCUAUGAAGUGAAGCCUGGCUGCUCUUCCUUUGGAAAUACACAGUUAGUCAAUCAACAUAGAAACACACAAACUUGAAGGAUAUUCUAGUGAGGGCUUAUGGAAAUGAUCUAUGUCUACUCUCAGAAUGGUGAAAGACUAUCAGAUUAUGCAAAGACUAACAGGAUAUCCUCUCUUGGAACACUGAAAUAAGAAAAUCAAACAGGAGGUGGAUGGAGGAUUUAAGA